UGUUGCACAGUCUAGACCAAACAAACAAAUAACAGACAAAUUGUGAGUGAACUAAAAACUUUGUAUCUAGGCUGUGAGUGUGCCUUAUAAUGCUGCCUAUAAAACAGAUGUUAAGGCCCGGAAGGCUUUAUGCAAAUCAACUAAUGGCAAAGCAGAGCAACAGUUUGAAGAGAAACUUGCUGGGGGAUGACUUGUUAUUUUUUAACCCACCGAAGCCUCAAGACUCAGCUAAGUUUACUGGUGUCCAGAGAAAAAUCUGAGAAGCAGGAGACCCUAACAAAGGUACAUUUGUUUUAACUGAAUACACUUGCUGUCUAUAAACCGUUUCAAUAUUAAAGAUUUGUGAUUUUUCUUUCCUGCAUGUUUCACAGUCUAUAUAUGCUACCAUUUAACAGUUUGGAGUUGGUGAGAUUUUUUGAUGUUUUUGAAAGAAGACUUUUAUGCUCAUCAAGGUUGCAUUCAUUUGAUUAAGAAUACAGAAAAAAAUGGUAAAAUUGUGAAAUAUUAUUACUUUUUAAAAUAGCUGUUUUCUAUAUGAUCAUAUUUUAAAAUGUAAUUUAUUCCUGUGAUGCAAAGCUGAAUUUUCAGCAUCAUUACUCCAGUCUUCAGUGUCACAUGAUCCUUCAGAAAUCAUUCUAAUAUGCUGAUUUGAUUUCUUCUUAUUAUUAUAAUUGUUGAAAACAGUUUGAAACCAUAAUACAUUGUUGCAGGACUUUUUGAUGAAUAGAAAGCAUUUAUUUAGCAUUUAUUUAAAACAGAACAUUAUAAAUGUCUUUACUGUCACUUUUGACCAGUUGAAUGCAUCCUUGCUGAAGUAUUAAUUUCUAUUUUAAAAAUUCUUAACCCUGAACUUUUGAACAGUAGUGCAUGCUGAAUUUUUUUCCACGGUUAGAGAGGCAGUGACCGAGAGAAUCUUUGACACCAGCACAGCUUGACAGAACUUAAAGAAGACAACAUUCUCUUAUGACUGAUCAGAGACAGUAAAGCCCAGCCGGACCGCUGUGAUCUGCUCUGCUUCUCUCCACAUGAUGGAUUCCUGCUUGUCCAGAUUGUACAGCUUCUUAAUUCUUGGCCUCAGUGGUGGAACGAAUUCCAGCUCACACAUCAGCCACUUUCAAAAGAAACCUCAAGACUCCUUAAACUAGACCUCACACAACGCAAACCUGCACUGCAACAAUCUGUAUUUGUCGUAUUAUGUACAGUAGGCCCUUGUGUUGGUAGGAAAGCACAUAUAGAGACUGUUCCUGUUAUAUUUACUUAUAUAGAAGUAUGGAAACUAAUACAAGUUAACUUAUCGUAAGACAGCAUAAAAAUGAUUUUUGCUUCAACUGUGUUGUAUAACCAUUCACAGGUGUCAAUGAUUGCAUGUGAAUGAUGGUAAGUGAUCUUCAGUGAUAAUAACGGUGAGUGAUGGUUCAUUGAUUUGGAUAGGAGUGCAUUAUGUGAUAAUUUUUGAGAAGUGAUGGUUUAAAAAUUGGUUAAUGAUGAUGAGCAAUAGUUGAGAAUGUUUAUUGCUGGUUGUAGAUGGUUCAGUGAUGGUGAAGGAUGGUGAAUAAUGGUGUGUGAUGGUGAACAAUGAUGAUCUGAUUACUAGUUAUUGGACAACAUAGUCAUUAAAUAAACUGCAGUGAAUGCAUUAUGCAGAUUGGUGAAAAACUGUGAAUAGCAUUUGUUCACUAUUGGUGAAUGAUGGUAAAUAAUAGUAAGUGAUGGUUUACUAGUUAAUUGAUUAAAAAUCACAAUUAGAGACUCAUAAAACAAAAGACAAAAAUGCAUUGAAUGCAUAAUGCUAUUUGGUGAAAAAAUGUGAAAUGGUAACUGUUUGUGAAUGAUGGUUCAGUGAUGGUGAAUUAUGGCAAAUAAUGGUUUAUUUAUAUAAAUGAUGUUCAGUGUUGGACAGCUGUAUUAGGUAUGAUAAAUGAUGCAGGAUUGUUCACUAGUAAAUGGAUUAUAAACCAUGGUUAUAAACUCACAAAACAAGGAAAAGUUAAGAAAAUGCAUUGAAAGCAUUAUGCCAAUUCAUAAAAAAAUUGUGAGGUGUUCACUUUUGGUGACUGAUGGUAAAUAAUGGUGAGUGAUGUUUUAUUCAUAUAAAUGAUGUUUAGUGUUGGAAAUCAGUGUUAGCGUUUAUAAAUAAUGGGAGAUUAUGCAUAAUGCCAACUGGUAAAAAAUUGUGAAUAGUGUUCAGUGUUGGUGAAUGAUGGUAAAUAAUAAGUAAUGGUUUAUUAGCAUGUUCAUUAGCAAUAUUAGUCGUUGUAAAUAAUGGAAGGAUUGUUCACUAGUUAAUGGAUUAUAAACCAUGACAAAAAAGACAAGAAAUGCACUGAAUGCAUAAUGCUAGUUGGAGACAAAGUGUGAAGUAUUCACUUUACUUUAUUCACAUAAAUAAUGGUGAGUGAUGGUUUAGUAAUAUGAAAGGUGUUCAGUGUUACAGAGCAAUGUUAGUGAUGAUGAAUAAUUGUAGGUUUGAACACUAGUUAUUUGGAUUCUACACCACAAUAAUCAUGCCCAUUUCUGAAAAGUGUUCACUUUUGGUGAAUGAUGGUAAACCACAAAAAGAAACUCACAAAACAGUUUUCAAAAGAAUCAUACUUAGAUUGGUAAAAAAGAUUAGUGUUGAUUAGUGAGAAAGAUGGUAAAUAAUAGUGAGUCAUGGCAUGUUUAAGUAAUUAAUGUUCAGUUUUGGAGAGCAGUGUUAGUGAUGCUGAAUAAUGAAUUAUAAACCACAAUAAGAAACUCACAAAACAGUUUUUACAGAAAUUGUACUUAGAUUGGUGAAAAAGUGAUUAGUGUUUAUUGUUGGUGAAUGAUGGUAAAUAAUGUUGAUCACUAGUUAAUAGAUUAUAAACCCAGAUUAGAUUAAAAACACAAAUAAAAAAAAAGUAAAUGCAUGGAAUGCAUUAUGUAAAUUGGUGAAAAUUCACUGUUGGUGAAUGAUGAUACAUAGCAGUGAGUGAUGGUUUAUUUAUGCAGAUGAUGAUCAGUGUUGGCAAGCAAUAAUAGUGAUGAGUAAUGGUAGGAUAGUUUGCAAUCCAACAUUAGAAACUCUUAAAAUAAAGGCUGACAAUAAAAUGCAUUAAAUGCAUAAUACAAAUUGGUGAUGUUUUUAAAACAGUGUACACAUUUGGUGCAAUGAUGGUAAACAAUAGUGAUUCAGGGUUUAUUUAUGUAAGUGAUGUUCAGUGUUGGAAAGCAAUAUAAGUGAUAUAAUGGGAGGAUUGAUCACUAGCUAAUGUAUUAUAAACCACAAAGAAACUCAGAAAACAGUUUUCAAAGAAAUAUUUAGACUGGUGAAAAAGUGAUGAGUGUAUAGUGUUGGUGAAUGAUGGUAAAUAACAGUGAGUGAUGUUUUGUUUAUAAAAAUGAUGUUCAGUGUUGACUAGCGAUAUUAGUGAUGAAUAAUGGUUUUGGUUAAUCGUUAACAGAUUAUGAACCAGGAAUAAAAACUCAUAAAUCAAAGAAAGAUAAGAACUGGUGAAAAAUUGGUAAAUGGUAAAUUAUGGUAAGUAAUGGUGAGUGAUGGUUUAUUUAUGCAAGUACUUUUCAGUGUUGGCGAGCAGUAUUAAUGAUGACUAAUUGUAGGAUUGUUCACUAGAUUAUAUACUGUAAACCACAAUUAGAAACUCACAAAAUAAACAAAGAAAAGAAAAUGCAUUGAAUGCAUAAUAGGAAUUGAUGAAAAAAGUGUUCACUUUUGGUGCAGUAAUGGUAAAUAAUGAUGGUUCAGGGUUUAUUUAUAUAAGUGAUGCUCAGUGCUGGAGAGGAAUAUUAGUGAUAAAUAAUGGUAGGAUUAAUCACUAGUUAAUAGAUUAUAAACCACAAAGAAAUUUGCAAAACAGCUUUAAAAGAAAUUGUAUUUUGAUUGGUGAAAAAGUGAUCAGUGUUUAGUGCUGGUGAAUGAUGUUUUGUUUAUAUAAAUGAUGUUCAGUGUUGACAAGCAAUGAAUGAUGGUUAAUGAAUGAUAAUGGACAAGCAAUGACUAAUGGUUGAAUUAAUAUACAUUAGGAUUAAAAACUCAAGUCAAAGAAAUACAAGAAAAUGCAUUGAAUGCAUAAUGUAAAUUGAUGAAAAAUCGUGACGUUCACUGUUAGUGAAUGAUGAUAAAUAAUGGUGAGUGAUGGUGUAUUUAUGCAACUAAUGUUCAGACUUGGCAAGCAGAAUUAGUGAUGAAUAAUGGUGGGAUUGUUCACUAGUUAAUAGCUUGCAAACCACUAUUACAAACUCACAAACUAAACAAAGACAAGAAAAUGCAUAAUAGGAAUUGGUGAAAAAAGUGUUCACUUUUGGUGCCGUAAUGGUAAACGAUGGUUCAGGGUUUAUUUAUAUAAUUGAUGCUCAGUGCUGGAGAGCAAUAUUAGUGAUUAAUAAUGGUAGGAUUGUUCACUGGAUUAUAUACUGUAAACCACAAUUAGAAACUCACAAAAUAAACAAAGACAAGAAAAUGCAUUGAAUGCAUAAUAGGAAUUGGUGAAAAAAAAUGUUCAAUUUUGGUGCAGUGAUGGUAAAUAAUGAUGGUUCGGAGUUUAUUUAAAUAAGUGAUGCUCAGUGCUGGAGAGCAGUAUUAGUGAUGAAUAAUGGUAGGAUUGAUCACUAGUUAAUAGAUUAUAAACCACCAUUAGAAACUCACAAAAUAAAU
Labeo rohita (rohu) is the source of this 4636-nucleotide long non-coding RNA. RefSeq lists it as uncharacterized. The transcript is spliced from 3 exons. NCBI's taxonomy places the organism in Eukaryota, Metazoa, Chordata, Actinopteri, Cypriniformes, Cyprinidae. The record is from RefSeq and is a predicted model, not a curated record.